AAAACUUUCAUCAGCCAACUUAAAUUCUAUUACGCAAAAGUAUAAAAAUAAACGCCACUGUCUAUGUAGCAAAUUUUAUAUUUUUAAUGACAUGUUUCCUAUUUUCUUGCAGGAACCAAGAAUGUACCUCGAAAUAGAUGCUUGAUACUCAACUACAUAAAUUUGCUUCAUUGCUAUUUUAAAAGUCUAUUCCGUGCAGGAGAAUGCCGGCUAUCAUUAUCAGAUUUAGAUAGGCUUUGCAUUGCUGAUCUAAUUGCCAUGAGGAUCGUAGUCUUCCAAAAUCUCCAUCACUGACCUGGUUACCAUGAGGCCUGUUGUCUACCAAGAUCUCCAUCACUGACCUGGUUACCAUGAGGCCUGUUGUCUGCCAAGAUCCCCAUCACUGACCUAGUUACCAUGAUCGUAGUCUGCUAAGAUGACCUACUUCAGUUGCCUGGUUGACAUAACAGAACAGGAGGUUUAUUUUUACAUUCUCCUUGAAUAGUAUGAAAAUUCCAUUUUCGGCAUUUUGGUUAUUUAAAAUUUAAAUAUUUUCUCUGAUAAGAAUUAAGCAAGAAAAUAUUUUUAAUUAAAUCUAAAUCCAUUUUCAUAAUAUAAAUGCAAUUUAAGUGUACAUCGUAUAAAAGUUUAUUUCAAAUAUUUUUAUUAAUCGUAAAGAAUAUUUAAGUCUUAUUUAUCUAAACAUACCCUUCUCUAUUUAUCAUAUCUAAAAAUUAUUAUUCAUAAACUUUUUUGAGUCGUAUUUACCCAUUAAAUAUCUUAAAUUAAAUUUAAAGUCUCUGAAAUUUGGCAGCACCUUCUCUAAUCUAUCAGCUAUGUAUUAUAUAUACGCACUGUUAAUAGUCUUAGCAUUUUUAAUACAAGCUUAUUGUUAGCCAUUCCUCGCUAUCAGCUAUGGCAUAAUAUUUAAGAAAAUUAAACCUUGGCGCAAAAGAACUAAUUCCGAUUUAUUUGUUUUUUUUCCUUCAGACUAUUGUCCAGUACACUAACUAAAAUCUAAAAUUUGUAUUAUUCAAAAUAAUUGUUUUAGUGUGCCAGUUUAAAUUCAAAUCAUUAACUUCAGAGAAUUAUUAAAAAUUAAAAUACUUUCGUUCGAUUCUCAGACUAAACAUAUUUAGAUGAAUAAAACUUUACAUCUGAUUUUAUUUUGGUACUACAAAUUUUUAAAUAUUCCUUUUCCACCAAAUACAUCAUACGUUACUUUCAUAUUUCAGAAUCUGUUUAAGUAAAUGUGGGUUAAUUUUAAAAUCUACCAUUAAAAUACACUUAAUCUGAAGUUUAAGCAAAACUUGUUUGUAAAAAAUUUGAGGAAUUUAUAUCGAAUAGACAAAAUCUGAUCUCAAAUUUGUAAGCUAUUAAAAUUAACUAACUCUUAAACUUGUUUUAAUCUUUAAAAAAAAUUACAGCUCGCAG
Molecule: non-coding RNA, 1413 nt
Organism: Parasteatoda tepidariorum (common house spider)
Lineage: Eukaryota; Metazoa; Arthropoda; Arachnida; Araneae; Theridiidae
Source: RefSeq, a predicted model, not a curated record